AACGAACGCUGGCGGCAUGCCUAACACAUGCAAGUCGAACGAGACCUUCGGUUCUAGUGGCGCACGUGUGCGUAACGCGUGGGAACCUGCCCUUAUGUUCGGAAUAACUCCCCGAAAGGGGUGCUAAUACCGGAUAAUUUCUUCGGACCAAAGAUUUAUCGCCUUUGGAUGGGCCCGCGUUGGAUUAGCUAGUUGGUAGGGUAAAAGCCUACCAAGGCGACGAUCCAUAGCUGGUCUGAGAGGAUGAUCAGCCACACUGGGACUGAGACACGGCCCAGACUCCUACGGGAGGCAGCAGUGGGGAAUAUUGGACAAUGGGCGAAAGCCUGAUCCAGCAAUGCCGCGUGAGUGAUGAAGGCCUUAGGGUUGUAAAGCUCUUUUACCCGGGAUGAUAAUGACAGUACCGGGAGAAUAAGCUCCGGCUAACUCCGUG
This 433-nucleotide ribosomal RNA is filed under the name uncultured bacterium. Its description in RNAcentral is "partial 16S ribosomal RNA". It matches the Rfam family "Bacterial small subunit ribosomal RNA", at positions 29 to 507 of the family's 1533-position model. The record is from RNAcentral.